RNAcentral lists this long non-coding RNA (282 nucleotides) under Ananas comosus (pineapple). Its description in RNAcentral is "long non-coding RNA (ACOM_LNC021575)". The record is from RNAcentral. Lineage: Eukaryota; Viridiplantae; Streptophyta; Magnoliopsida; Poales; Bromeliaceae.
AGGAGAGAGAGAGAGAGAGAGAGGUGUAGAGGUGGAGGGAGUCUGGUAUAUAACACUUACACCACAUCAUCAAUAACUAGCCAAUCGCAUCUCUAUAUUUGAAGAAAAAAGUAUAAUAAUAAUUUUUUUUAAUGAUCAUGAUGGAACAGGUGAUCUAAGAGGAACAAUCUGAUUGGCUGGGGACGCCACAUCAGUAAUAUAAUCGGUAUAUUCUAGACUUUUUUAGUAGAGGUGAUAGGGAUGGGGAAGUAAGAGCUAGGUUAGGUGUUUUUAAGGAAUUAU